Molecule: ribosomal RNA, 565 nt
Filed under: Trichocladium arxii
Lineage: Eukaryota; Fungi; Ascomycota; Sordariomycetes; Sordariales; Chaetomiaceae
Description: eukaryotic LSU rRNA
Rfam family: Eukaryotic large subunit ribosomal RNA
Source: RNAcentral
UUGACCUCGGAUCAGGUAGGAAGACCCGCUGAACUUAAGCAUAUCAAUAAGCGGAGGAAAAGAAACCAACAGGGAUUGCCCUAGUAACGGCGAGUGAAGCGGCAACAGCUCAAAUUUGAAAUCUGGCCUCGGCCCGAGUUGUAAUUUGUAGAGGAUGCUUUGGGCGCGGCUCCAACUGAGUUCCCUGGAACGGGACGCCACAGAGGGUGAGAGCCCCGUAUAGUUGGAUGCCUAGCCUAUGUAAAGCUCCUUCGACGAGUCGAGUAGUUUGGGAAUGCUGCUCAAAAUGGGAGGUAAAUUUCUUCUAAAGCUAAAUAUUGGCCAGAGACCGAUAGCGCACAAGUAGAGUGAUCGAAAGAUGAAAAGCACUUUGAAAAGAGGGUUAAAUAGCACGUGAAAUUGUUGAAAGGGAAGCGCUUGUGACCAGACUUGCGCCGGGCGGAUCAUCCGGUGUUCUCACCGGUGCACUCCGCCCGGCUCAGGCCAGCAUCGGUUCUCGCGGGGGGAUAAAGGUCCCGGGAACGUAGCUCCUCCGGGAGUGUUAUAGCCCGGGGCGUAAUGCCCU